This 274-nucleotide ribosomal RNA is filed under the name uncultured bacterium. RNAcentral's name for it is "partial 16S ribosomal RNA". It matches the Rfam family "Bacterial small subunit ribosomal RNA", at positions 523 to 796 of the family's 1533-position model. The record is from RNAcentral.
AUACGGAGGGUGCGAGCGUUAUUCGGAAUCACUGGGCGUAAAGGGUGCGUAGGCGGUUUGAUAAGUCUGAUGUGAAAUCCUAUGGCUCAACCAUAGAACUGCAUUGGAAACUGUCAGACUAGAAUACUGAAGGGGCAGAUGGAAUUAGUGGUGUAGGGGUAAAAUCCGUAGAUAUCACUAGGAAUACCGAAAGCGAAAGCGAUCUGCUGGGAAGUUAUUGACGCUGAGGCACGAAAGCGUGGGGAGCAAACGGGAUUAGAAACCCCAGUAGUCC